GACGAACGCUGGCGGCGUGCCUAACACAUGCAAGUCGAGCGGAGUCAGUAAGAGGAAGUUUUCGGAUGGAAUCUUAUUGAUUUAGCGGCGGACGGGUGAGUAACGCGUGAGCGACCAACCUUGCACAGGGGGAUAACGGACCGAAAGGUUCACUAAUAACGCAUGAGACCACGGUGUUGCAUGACACAGUGGUCAAAGGAGCAAUCCGGUGCAAGACGGGCUCGCGUCCGAAUAGGUAGUUGGAGGGGUAACGGCCCACCAAGCCUAUGAGCGGUAGCCGACCUGAGAGGGUGAUCGGCCACAUUGGAACUGAGAUACGGUCCAAACUCCUACGGGAGGCAGCAGUGGGGAAUAUUGGGCAAUGGGGGAAACCCUGACCCAGCAACGCCGCGUGAAGGAAGAAGGUUUUCGGAUUGUAAACUUCUGUCCUUGGUGAAGAGAAGAAGACGGUAGCCAAGGAGGAAGCCCCGGCUAACUACGUGCCAGCCGCCGCCGUAA
This 498-nucleotide ribosomal RNA is filed under the name uncultured bacterium. RNAcentral's name for it is "partial 16S ribosomal RNA". It matches the Rfam family "Bacterial small subunit ribosomal RNA", at positions 28 to 523 of the family's 1533-position model. The record is from RNAcentral.